CCUACGGGUGGCAGCAGUGAGGAAUAUUGGUCAAUGGGCUCGCGCCUGAACCAGCCAAGUAGCGUGAAGGAUGACUGCCCUACGGGUUGUAAACUUCUUUUAUCAAGGAGUAAAGUGAGGCACGUGUGCCUUUUUGUAUGUAUUUUAUGAAUAAGGAUCGGCCAACUCCGGGCCAGCAGCCGCGGUAAUACGGAGGAUCCGAGCGUUUUCCGGAUUUAUUGGGUUUAAAGGGGGCGUAGAUGGGUUGUUAAGUCAGUUGUGAAAGUUUGCGGCUCAACCGUAAAAUUGCAAUUGAUACUGGCAGCCGUGAGUACAGUUGAGGUAGGCGGAAUUCGUGGUGUAGCGGUGAAAUGCUUAGAUAUCACGAAGAACUCCGAUUGCGAAGGCAGCCUACUAAACUGCCACUGACAUUGAUGCUCGAAAGUGUGGGUAUCAAACAGGAUUAGAUACCCGUGUAGUC
This 460-nucleotide ribosomal RNA is filed under the name uncultured bacterium. RNAcentral's name for it is "partial 16S ribosomal RNA". It matches the Rfam family "Bacterial small subunit ribosomal RNA", at positions 338 to 795 of the family's 1533-position model. The record is from RNAcentral.